This is a long non-coding RNA of Equus caballus (horse), 1651 nucleotides long. The record is from Ensembl. Lineage: Eukaryota; Metazoa; Chordata; Mammalia; Perissodactyla; Equidae.
UGAGAAGAAAGCCCUGUUCAGUCUUUUUAUUCUCUUGUCUAUUGCUAUUUGGUAAUUGUUGGAAAUUUAGUUUUCAUUCAAUUUGACUGUCUCCUAGAAAAAAUGCAGAGAGAUAUUUGGACCAUGCUUUGGCUUUCUGGUUCUAUGUUCUGCCAACCCCAGGGCCAAAAGAACUGGUCUAGACAGUAUCCCCUGUAGCCCCAUAACUCGAAUAGUUGCUGAGCCAGCCAGAUAUAACAAGAGCCACGUGCUCAUUUGGGUUUGUCUUUGGGAGCAGCUACUCCUCUCUCCGUUUCACCAGUACCGCUGCACCAAAAAACCCCUAUUUCUGCAAAUUUCCUUGGCUGUUCCCUACAAGACCAGACUUAGCAAGUGAGUUGCCAGUCUCUUAAUAAAUAGAACUAAUAAAAAAGUAGUUGUGGCUCAAUCUGGUUGUCUUGCUUUAUCUAAUGAAAGAACUAGUUUGUGCUAUUGUGUUGUCUAAAUAUCGCAUAUAAACCAUCAAUUUAAGUGUUUAGGUAGAAUAGAAAAUGGUUCCCUUUUUACAAUCUGUUUCAUCUUUUAUACUCAACUCAUAGAUAGAGGAAAUGUCUCACGUUAAAACAACUAGUUCAUGCUUUUCUGCAAAGGGCUAGCAUCAGACCUAUCACCCCAGCCCACGUCCCCUUGAUGUGAUGAGUGAGAACAGGAGGGUAUCAUAGGGUAAUGAAGAAUCACCCAACAGCUGUAUCAACUUUGUCAAUUUGUCAGCCACACUGAACCUCUGUUUUUUAUCUUUAAAAGGAGGAUGAGACUACCACUGCUUCACAGGGUUUUGCAUGUUUGUUUUUUUGCCCCUGCUGUUGUUAAGUGAAUGGACAUAUGAAGAGUACUUUGCUUGGUGUUUGGUCUACAGCUGAUGAUCAGUAAAUGGUAGUCUUAACAAUAUCUCCCAACCUGUUCAGUUUUUGGCUUCUUGGCAAUGCUAUUGUAAUAAGCUUUUUUAUAUUCAGACUGUAACCUAGGCCCAUACUUCAUCCUGUUCCUGAAUGGAUAAAUGCUCCAGACUCUAGUCUCAUAAAUAGAUCAAGCCAUCAGUUAUUCCCGAGCAUGUUCUGUAAUUCUAUUUGUUAAGCUUUUGGUUACAUGACUGACCAGAAAUUGUUUAAAAUAGAGGAGAAAUGUUCAUGUUAAGCUUUGCCUAAGUCCACCAACUAAAAUUCAAAAUAAAAGAGAGAAAGUGGCCAGUUGAUCCAUUUGCUGAGAUGAUGGGAAGGAGGGCCACAGUUGGCUGAGCACCUGCCAGGUACUGGUCUCUGUUAACCUUUUUAACUUCACGUUUCACCCUGUGAUGUGGGUGUUUUGUUAUAGAACUCCAUUUUAGAGGGAGGUGAGAAGACUCAGAAUGGUUAAAUUACUUGUCCAAGAUCGUCUAAUUCAUAAGAGGGCAGUCUAGAAUUUCAUUAUCCAAUUCAUUAGCUGCUAGCCAUAUGUGACUUUCAAGGAAUCAAACUAUGGCUAAUUUGAAUUAAGCUAUGCCAUAAGUGGAAAAUACAUAUCAGAUUCUGAAGACAGUACAAAAAAGAAAAUAAGAAUGUAAAAUACUCAUCAAUUUUUUAUAUUGAUUAUGUGUCUAAAUAAUACUAUAUUGGAUAUAUGUGGUUAAAUAAAG